ACUAUCAAACAUGAUGUAUAACUAUUUUUUUUCCUUUUUUUUUUCUUUUUCAAUUAAAUUUACUAAAUAAAUUUUUAUGAAAAGGUCUGAAUGUUCAUACCGCCUUACUUUUUCUUCUCUCUCCUUUUUAGAUUGAUUUUUCACCCUUUGAUAAUGGAUAUUAUAAGUAUUAAACUUUUUCCCAAAAUAGUUAAAGGCCUUUCACCAAAAAAAUUUAGUCUAAUCUAAAGACUUUUUUUUAAUAGUUUAACAUUCUUCAUCAUAACGCAAACUUUUUACCAAACAAAUUGUCUAUUACUACAAAUUUGACUAGCUAGUUCCCCAAAACAGAAUUCAUGGUUUUAACUUUUACCCCAUUAUUUGCAAAAAGUUAAUCUGAAGCUGUGAAAAAUCAGGCUCCCUGAUCUUCUGUGCCAUAAGAUCAACAAGAAUUAGGCAUAGAGGCAAAUUUUCAAAGUUCUUCUACAUUAUAAUUUGUACAUGUAAUUAAUUAACUUUAUUUGUUUUUAGAACAAGAAGACUUUCUCUUUUGAAUUAUUGCAUCAAAAAACAGUAGCCGCAUUAAUAUUACUUUAUUCUUUUGCUGAGCUUGCAGCCUUUACUAAAAAAUGCCAACAAAUAAACUUACAAACUCAAAGUCAAGGUGAUGCAAAGAUGUAUUCAACAGUUCAUUUUUAUUAUUUUAGUACUUUCACGCAAGGGUUGUUACCAAUUGUUAUACUAUUCAAAUCAGAAUAAUUAAUUUUACCACAAUGAUGUAUGUUAAGUCUAGCUAGGUAAAUUCGGGUGUAUUCAGUAGUGUGGUCAGUGUUAUUUCCUCACCUAUUUCACACCAUUAGCUAUAGAGUACAAGUGGACACUGGACAUAUUGGUGGUGCAGAGAUAAUAGACAACAUAUAUAUAUAUAUUGUAAUACCUUAUCACCUCUUAUUCAUAUGAUGGUCAUAACAGAACAUAACAUAUAUUAUAUAGAGAUAGAGAGAGAGUUAUACCUUCUUCUUCAAAUCAACUAUGAUUAUCUGCUUCAAGACAAAAAUGAUAAGCAAUUCGUGUUGAUAAUGUGUUAUGAAAGAUAACUGAAAACAAGAUAAUUAGAUAAAAAAAGAGUAUUUGCAUAAUCUUUUGUAUAUAUCUCAACCACUUUAUAAUUGUCUUAUUUAUAGAAAUAAGAACAUCAAUACUACUAGGAAGUUACCAGAGCCGGUUCUGAGUUUUUUAAGGGCCCGGGAUAAAUUUUCUCAAGUGUGCCCCUUUACAUUUACAUUUCCAUUUCUACUAAUUCUUCCAAUUGAAUUGGUUGUUCAUAUUCAUUUGGUAAAUCUUCAUCUAAAUUUUCAAGUGAAGCAUUGGUUUAUUUAACAAAAUAUUUAUUCAAAGAUCCUCUUAAACUUUGAGCAAUUUCUUCUUCUUUUUUCUUUCUUUGUUUCUUGAGAUUUCCGGAAAGUUGUUUCUUAUGAAGUAUUUUUUAAUUUUUAUAAUAAACACAACACAAUAAAUAACAAACUAAUUAGCAAAGAACAAUAAAACCUGGAUUUUGAGUAUAUUUUCUUCCACUUGAAACUUCUAAUUAUAAAGAACAAGAAUCCCAGCCAAGUUUUCUCUUGAAUCAAAUAAUAAAUAAGAAAAAGUUAACACAAAUAUGUUAUAUGCAUUACAAUUUACAAAAUAGGAGAGAAUAAACAAAAAUAAAAGGGUUUCCAGAUUCCAGAGAGCUCAGUAACCAAAAGGGUUUCCCUCAAAAAAUUAAUUACAAGGAUGGCUUUACCUUUAUUAAAUAAAUAAUAUAUUUAUAUAAACAAAACAAUCAUACAAUAGUCAACAACUGCUAAUUACAGUCCAGAUUCCAGAAUUAGACAAAAUAUUAGAUGUGCAGGCAAGUAGACAGCGCAGUUUUCUGAUCAAAGAAGCCAAACCAUUACGCUAGAAAGUGCAAAGAUUACAAAAUGACAAGUAGGGAAACAACAAAUCAUUUACAAAAUCGUGACACUGGCCAAAUCUUCUAACAUGGUGAUAUGGUAUUCAGCUUUCUGAUCGAAAAAGCCAAUCAAUUAUAUCAGAAAGUGCAAAGAUUCCAAAAAAACAAGUAGGGAGUCAACAAAUUGAUUGCAAAAUAGUGAGACUGGACAAAUCUCCUUAUAUUAGUCGUUUUAAAAAUCCCAAAAAAGAUCGUUAUUGACCAUAAACCCCCAGUGCUCAACAAACACCAAGCCCAACAAUCUCUCAAAUAGAACAAAAGAAAAUUCAUAUCACCAACAUUAACCCCAUCAAAUAGAACCAAAAAAAAUUCAUUUCCCCAACAUUAACAAAGUCAAUUUACAGAUACAAUAUAACCAUUUCAGUCUGGAACUUGACAGAAUACAGAGUAACAGAGAUUUUCAUUUUUUAUAGGCCGAAGAGCCAAGAACAAACUAAUUAACAUAUGGAAGAAAAACCAUCAGCCAGUCAAAGAAAUAGAAUCCCCCUUGCCCCUUCAAUCACAAAGGAAUGCAUACAUAUUCUAUAGACAUCAAUCAAAGAGAUCUAACAAGUAACAAAUAACAACGGAUAAAUUCAUAGAGAACAAAAGCGAAAAGAAGAUAUUGCCUUGAGAAGAUUAUAUUUUCUUCUUUUUGUAUUUUGCUUUUUGGAAGUGCUUUAUUUUUGUUUGUCGUUUGAUCGCUCUUGGCUUGCAGAAACAAAAGUGAGGACUGCAUAGUUCAUUAGUUCAACGAAGCAACAAAUUAAAA
This 2726-nucleotide long non-coding RNA is filed under the name Panax ginseng (ginseng). Its description in RNAcentral is "long non-coding RNA (PGIN_LNC007639)". Lineage: Eukaryota; Viridiplantae; Streptophyta; Magnoliopsida; Apiales; Araliaceae. The record is from RNAcentral.